This is a long non-coding RNA of Oncorhynchus tshawytscha (Chinook salmon), 457 nucleotides long. The record is from Ensembl. Lineage: Eukaryota; Metazoa; Chordata; Actinopteri; Salmoniformes; Salmonidae.
GCGCUAGCUGGCUGUCAGAAGUGACGGAGUAAGGGAGGGAGGGGAAUAGGGUGGACAGACACCGCUAGCCAACAGAGGGGGUGGCGUUUGAUUCGGUAAAAACCGAGAUUGAACGAACGGACUGUGUAACCGACGAAACUGCCCCUUUAAAUCAGGAAUACAGCGCAUUCGGAGCCCUAAUUAGAGCCAUUAAUCUCAAGGUCCUCCACAGUAGAGUAAUUACAGCAGGACUCCUGAGAGAGAGAGAGCGAGAAAGACAGAGAGAGAGAGGUGAAGGUUUACAGCUGUCCAUCUGACCUGAGGUCACAACCACUCCUGUCCAUCUGACCUGAGGUCACAACCACUCCUGUCCAUCUGACCUGAGGUCACAACCACUCCUGUCCAUCUGACCUGAGGUCACAACCCCUCCUGUCCAUCUGACCUGAGGUCACAACCCCUCCUGUCCAUCUGACCUGAG